Molecule: ribosomal RNA, 463 nt
Filed under: Neisseria animaloris
Lineage: Bacteria; Pseudomonadati; Pseudomonadota; Betaproteobacteria; Neisseriales; Neisseriaceae
Description: bacterial SSU rRNA
Rfam family: Bacterial small subunit ribosomal RNA
Source: RNAcentral
GAGUUUGAUUAUGGCUCAGAUUGAACGCUGGCGGCAUGCUUUACACAUGCAAGUCGAACGGCAGCACGGAAGAGCUUGCUCUUUUGGUGGCGAGUGGCGAACGGGUGAGUAACGCAUCGGAACGUACCGAGUAGUGGGGGAUAACUGUCCGAAAGGAUGGCUAAUACCGCAUAUUCUCUGAGGAGGAAAGCAGGGGACCUUCGGGCCUUGCGCUAUUUGAGCGGCCGAUGUCUGAUUAGCUAGUUGGUGGAGUAAAGGCCUACCAAGGCGACGAUCAGUAGCGGGUCUGAGAGGAUGAUCCGCCACACUGGGACUGAGACACGGCCCAGACUCCUACGGGAGGCAGCAGUGGGGAAUUUUGGACAAUGGGGGGAACCCUGAUCCAGCCAUGCCGCGUGUCUGAAGAAGGCCUUCGGGUUGUAAAGGACUUUUGUCAGGGAAGAAAAGCUUGAGGUUAAUACCC